RNAcentral lists this small nuclear RNA (104 nucleotides) under Microcebus murinus (gray mouse lemur). Lineage: Eukaryota; Metazoa; Chordata; Mammalia; Primates; Cheirogaleidae. The record is from RNAcentral.
UCACUUUAGCAUUGUAUAUACUAAAAUUGGGAUGAUGCAGAGAGGAUUAGCAUGGACUCUGCACAAGAAUGAUCGUGCCAAUUUGUGAAGCAUUCCAUAUUUUU